CCUACGGGUGGCAGCAGUGAGGAAUAUUGGUCAAUGGGCGGAAUCCUGAACCAGCCAUGCCGCGUGCAGGACGACGGCUCUACGAGUUGUAAACUGCUUUUGUCACGGGGCAAUAUGCUCUACGAGUAGGCUUUUCGAAAGUAGCUAAAAAUAAGGCACCGCCUAACCCGGUACAGCCGCCGCCGGAAAUACGGGGGAUCCGACCGUUAUCGGAUUCAUUUGGUUUAAAGGGUUCCGAGGUUGUUUUAUAAGUUCGCGGGGAAAUACCGAUGGUCAACAUCGGGGCUGCCGUUGAUACUGUAGGACUAUAGUGCGGAUGCAGCAGGCGGAAUGUGUGGUGUAGCGGUGAAAUGCAUAGAUAUUACGCAGAACACCGAUUGCGAAGGCAGCUUGCUAGGCCGGAACUGACGCUGAUGCACGAAAGCGUGGGGAUCGAACAGGAUUAGAUACCCUAGUAGUC
RNAcentral lists this ribosomal RNA (460 nucleotides) under uncultured bacterium. RNAcentral's name for it is "partial 16S ribosomal RNA". It matches the Rfam family "Bacterial small subunit ribosomal RNA", at positions 338 to 795 of the family's 1533-position model. The record is from RNAcentral.